UACGUAGGGGGCAAGCGUUGUCCGGAAUCAUUGGGCGUAAAGAGCGUGUAGGCGGCCGUACAGGUCAGCUGUGAAAACUCGAGGCUCAACCUCGAGACGUCGGUUGAAACCGUACGGCUAGAGUCCGGAAGAGGAGAGUGGAAUUCCCGGUGUAGCGGUGAAAUGCGCAGAUAUCGGGAAGAACACCCGUGGCGAAGGCGGCUCUCUGGGACGGUACUGACGCUGAGACGCGAAAGCUAGGGGAGCAAACAGG
RNAcentral lists this ribosomal RNA (253 nucleotides) under uncultured bacterium. Its description in RNAcentral is "partial 16S ribosomal RNA". It matches the Rfam family "Bacterial small subunit ribosomal RNA", at positions 524 to 776 of the family's 1533-position model. The record is from RNAcentral.